Molecule: ribosomal RNA, 448 nt
Filed under: uncultured bacterium
Lineage: Bacteria
Description: bacterial SSU rRNA
Rfam family: Bacterial small subunit ribosomal RNA
Source: RNAcentral
GCAUAACGCGAAGAACCUUACCUGGGCUCGAAAUGCAGAUGACCAUCGGCGAAAGUCGACUUCCGCAAGGACAUCUGUAUAGGUGCUGCAUGGCUGUCGUCAGCUCGUGUCGUGAGAUGUUGGGUUAAGUCCCGCAACGAGCGCAACCCUUGUUCUCUGUUGCCAUCAGGUCAAGCUGGGCACUCUGAGGAGACCGCCGGUGACAAACCGGAGGAAGGUGGGAUGACGUCAAGUCAGCAUGGCCUUUAUGUCCAGGGCUACACACGUGCUACAAUGGCCGGUACAAAGCGCUGCAAGCCCGCGAGGGUGAGCCAAUCGCAUAAAGCCGGUCUCAGUUCGGAUUGUAGGCUGCAACUCGCCUGCAUGAAGUUGGAAUCGCUAGUAAUCGCGAAUCAGCCAUGUCGCGGUGAAUACGUUCCCGGGUCUUGUACUACACCGGACGGUCGGU